CUACAACUUACCACUUCACCCAGCCCCCUGACCCCUCUCAUACAUAACCCGGACUUGGCAGAUACGCUAACGCGCGGCGACUUAGCCGGACUUCAACCUACGGACUGGGCAUAUAUACACCAGUGGUUCAGUACCAACGGUCUCAAAACACUCAGGGAAUUAUGCCCAGACAGAACACCUACAUUCUUAGAACAGUUCAGAUACAGCCAAAUAAAAUCAUAU
This is a non-coding RNA of Pelobates cultripes (western spadefoot toad), 222 nucleotides long. The record is from the annotation of a GenBank genome assembly. NCBI's taxonomy places the organism in Eukaryota, Metazoa, Chordata, Amphibia, Anura, Pelobatidae.